UAAACCUGGUUGAUCCUGCCAGUAGUCAUACGCUCGUCUCAAAGAUUAAGCCAUGCAUGUCUAAGUAUAAAUCUUUUACUUUGAAACUGCGAACGGCUCAUUAUAUCAGUUAUAGUUUAUUUGAUAGUCCCUUACUACUUGGAUAACCGUAGUAAUUCUAGAGCUAAUACAUGCGUCAAUACCCUUCUGGGGGU
This 194-nucleotide ribosomal RNA is filed under the name uncultured eukaryote. RNAcentral describes it as "partial 18S ribosomal RNA". It matches the Rfam family "Eukaryotic small subunit ribosomal RNA", at positions 1 to 201 of the family's 1831-position model. The record is from RNAcentral.